RNAcentral lists this long non-coding RNA (1335 nucleotides) under Triticum aestivum (bread wheat). RNAcentral describes it as "long non-coding RNA (TAES_LNC021743)". Lineage: Eukaryota; Viridiplantae; Streptophyta; Magnoliopsida; Poales; Poaceae. The record is from RNAcentral.
CGCAAAAAAAAAUAAAAAAAUCAGCUAUAUGUUCCGGCAAAAAACAUCAGCUCGAUACAUCCUGAAAUCUCGUAUAGCUCUGAUCGGAGAUAAAAGGUGAAACAACUGUGGAAGAUAUAUUUGUCAUAGUGCCAUUCUUUGAAUAUUACAUUAAUACACACUUGCAAGUAUACAUGGCUUCAUAAACUGAUGGCUUUCAGAAGCAGUUGGUGUUUUACAAGUCAAUUUCUUGCGCACGAGCGAUGUUGGCCUUGGUCUUGGUCUUGGGCAUGGAUUUUAGGUGGAUGGUCCUCCGGUUGCCCACGGUCGCUGCGGGGCUGCCACGUAUGACACUAUAUUGGUUUCUGAUGCAAGUUUGUGUAGCAGCGCCGCAUAGAAAGGUUCCAUACCUUCAAGGAAAACAAAUAUAGUAGUAAUUACUGAAAGCCCAUAGAUAGAAGAGACGUCGAACUCAGCAGAAAACACACUUAUAAAAAGAGGGGAAAAUCAUCUUAAUAUAUAUUCUCUGUAUAUUUGUUUAACAAGUAGUCACACCCAAAAAAAAGCAUGUCACAGAGAGAACUGGUCACAUGCUGGCUAGGAAAGUGGUCACAUACUGGUUAAUCAAUUUCUAGGAAGCUUCUAAAAAGAUGCGAGUCCACACUGCAAAACGGAGCCUCCACAUGCUCACACGCAAGCGAAACUGUAAAGUUUACGGGGAGCAUCUAUAUUCCGGAACAGCGGUCAAGAGGAACGGAAAUGAAACAACUUUUGAUUACGCAUAUCGAUCAUCGAUUUUCGUACACGUACAAAUAGUACCUUGUAUGCAAACGCGAGCUACUUGGAUAACGAAAAUAAUAACAAAUCAAUAAGGAGAGAUAUAGAUGUGCACCUGCUGCUAUUGGGUGGCCUCGCUUUGAAUACGGAUGAUCCUGAUGCUUCCGUCAGAUUCGACAAUGAUAACAAGAAUAUGGUUGUAGCUCGGAGUCGGAGUUGGGGUCGUCGGCGGUAGCGCCAUUAUGUAGAAUGAGCACGUCUAGACAACAACAUGUGGCGUAAGAAGGCAGGAAACGAAAAGAAAAGAAGUAGGAAGGGGAACUUGGGAGAGUACCGUUGCACGGCGCAGAUGGACGUUGUCCGAUGAGGUCGGUGGGUUCCCCGGUGCGGUGCGCGCGGAUGAGGAGAUCGAAUUCAGGAGCUAGCUCGGGGUUGCAGAGGGAGAGGAGAGGGAGGUUUCUGUGUAUCUGCGGUUGAACGGGAGGAAAGAGGAGACGUUCUUGCUGGUGCUUGAAUUUGCCCAAAAGCUCGAGCCAGAGGCCUCCCUUUUUGUAAGGUUUGCACUACGUAUUACCGCGU